UAAUAAAUAACUUAAAUAUUAAAGUAUUGAUUUUUUAAUUCAAAUAUAGUUAUUUGCUUUUAUUAA
RNAcentral lists this transfer RNA (66 nucleotides) under Monomachus antipodalis. Its description in RNAcentral is "tRNA-Lys". Lineage: Eukaryota; Metazoa; Arthropoda; Insecta; Hymenoptera; Monomachidae. The record is from RNAcentral.